GAUGAACGCUGGCGGCGUGCUUAACACAUGCAAGUCGAACGAUGAAGCCCAGCUUGCUGGGUGGAUUAGUGGCGAACGGGUGAGUAACACGUGAGUACCCUGCCCUUGACUCUGGGAUAAGCCUGGGAAACUGGGUCUAAUACUGGAUAUGACUUCUCAUCGCAUGGUGGGGGGUGGAAAGAUUUAUUGGUCUUGGAUGGACUCGCGGCCUAUCAGCUUGUUAGUGAGGUAAUGGCUCACCAAGGCGACGACGGGUAGCCGGCCUGAGAGGGUGACCGGCCACACUGGGACUGAGACACGGCCCAGACUCCUACGGGAGGCAGCAGUGGGGAAUAUUGCACAAUGGGCGCAAGCCUGAUGCAGCGACGCCGCGUGAGGGAUGACGGCCUUCGGGUUGUAAACCUCUUUCAGUAGGGAAGAAGCGAGAGUGACGGUACCUGCAGAAGAAGCGCCGGCUAACUACGUG
RNAcentral lists this ribosomal RNA (466 nucleotides) under uncultured bacterium. Its description in RNAcentral is "partial 16S ribosomal RNA". It matches the Rfam family "Bacterial small subunit ribosomal RNA", at positions 28 to 507 of the family's 1533-position model. The record is from RNAcentral.